This 253-nucleotide ribosomal RNA is filed under the name uncultured bacterium. Its description in RNAcentral is "partial 16S ribosomal RNA". It matches the Rfam family "Bacterial small subunit ribosomal RNA", at positions 524 to 776 of the family's 1533-position model. The record is from RNAcentral.
UACGGAGGGUGCAAUCGUUAAUCGGAAUGACUGGGCGUAAAGCGCACGCAGGCGGUCUGUCAAGUCAGAUGUGAAAUCCCCGGGCUCAACCCGGGAACUGCAUUCGAAACUGGCAGACUAGAGUAUUGUAGAGGGGGGUAGAACUCCAGGUGUAGCGGUGAAAUGCGUAGAGAUCUGGAGGAAUACCGGUGGCGAAGGCGGCCCCCUGGACAAAGACUGACGCUCAGGUGCGAAAGCGUGGGGAGCAAACGGG